This is a non-coding RNA of Polaribacter sp. MED152, 46 nucleotides long. The record is from Rfam. Lineage: Bacteria; Pseudomonadati; Bacteroidota; Flavobacteriia; Flavobacteriales; Flavobacteriaceae.
AAAAAGGCGUCUUUAGACGCCUUUUUUUGUUAAUUUAAAAGUCAAU